This 614-nucleotide long non-coding RNA is filed under the name Physcomitrium patens. Its description in RNAcentral is "long non-coding RNA (PPAT_LNC008777)". Lineage: Eukaryota; Viridiplantae; Streptophyta; Bryopsida; Funariales; Funariaceae. The record is from RNAcentral.
UAUGAUGUCAUUAUACGUGAAGUCUUGCUUGAGAAUGCUCCGGGCACCUGGCUGUAGAAGGAAGAAUGGAAAUUACAAUAACAAAAUCCUAAUUCUAAUAGAAUACUAACAAUGGUCUAAUUAGAUCAUAAUAAUACUAAGCAAGCUUAAUCAAAUUCAAAAAACGACAAAGAAAUUUCAAACAAACAAUAAAAAUUCUUAAAGAAAUAUUAGAAGGAUCACAAAUAUCAAUCAAAUACAUCUCAACUCAAUCUUAAUUUAAUUCUAGUUAAAAUCCUAUUAAACUUCAUUCAAACUUUAGGCCAAAACUAAUUGAAUCUUAAUUCUUAAUAAUAUCCUAAAUCCUAAAUCAAACCCUAAAUAAACCUUAAACCAAAUCCCAACGAAAUCCUGAACCAAAUCCUAACCAAAUCCUAACCAAAUCCUAAACCAAAUCCUAAACCAAACCCUAACCCUAAAUCAAAUCCUAACCAAACCCUAAUCCAAAUUCUAAACUCUAAAUCAAAUCCUAACCAAAUCCUAAAUCAAACCCUAACCAAAUCCUAAAUCAUAAAUAAAACCUAAAUUCCAAAUCCUAAACCAAAUCCUAAAUCCUAAAUCAAACCCUAAUCCAA